RNAcentral lists this ribosomal RNA (376 nucleotides) under uncultured Serratia sp. RNAcentral describes it as "bacterial SSU rRNA". It matches the Rfam family "Bacterial small subunit ribosomal RNA", at positions 521 to 896 of the family's 1533-position model. Lineage: Bacteria; Pseudomonadati; Pseudomonadota; Gammaproteobacteria; Enterobacterales; Yersiniaceae. The record is from RNAcentral.
UAAUACGGAGGGUGCAAGCGUUAAUCGGAAUUACUGGGCGUAAAGCGCACGCAGGCGGUUUGUUAAGUCAGAUGUGAAAUCCCCGGGCUCAACCUGGGAACUGCAUUUGAAACUGGCAAGCUAGAGUCUCGUAGAGGGGGGUUAGAAUUCCAGGUGUAGCGGUGAAAUGCGUAGAGAUCUGGAGGAAUACCGGUGGCGAAGGCGGCCCCCUGGACGAAGACUGACGCUCAGGUGCGAAAGCGUGGGGAGCAAACAGGAUUAGAUACCCUGGUAGUCCACGCUGUAAACGAUGUCGAUUUGGAGGUUGUGCCCUUGAGGCGUGGCUUCCGGAGCUAACGCGUUAAAUCGACCGCUGGGGAGUACGGCCGCAAGGUUA